RNAcentral lists this ribosomal RNA (533 nucleotides) under Salmonella enterica subsp. enterica serovar Enteritidis. RNAcentral describes it as "bacterial SSU rRNA". It matches the Rfam family "Bacterial small subunit ribosomal RNA", at positions 166 to 694 of the family's 1533-position model. The record is from RNAcentral. Lineage: Bacteria; Pseudomonadati; Pseudomonadota; Gammaproteobacteria; Enterobacterales; Enterobacteriaceae.
AUACCGCAUAACGUCGCAAGACCAAAGAGGGGGACCUUCGGGCCUCUUGCCAUCAGAUGUGCCCAGAUGGGAUUAGCUUGUUGGUGAGGUAACGGCUCACCAAGGCGACGAUCCCUAGCUGGUCUGAGAGGAUGACCAGCCACACUGGAACUGAGACACGGUCCAGACUCCUACGGGAGGCAGCAGUGGGGAAUAUUGCACAAUGGGCGCAAGCCUGAUGCAGCCAUGCCGCGUGUAUGAAGAAGGCCUUCGGGUUGUAAAGUACUUUCAGCGGGGAGGAAGGUGUUGUGGUUAAUAACCGCAGCAAUUGACGUUACCCGCAGAAGAAGCACCGGCUAACUCCGUGCCAGCAGCCGCGGUAAUACGGAGGGUGCAAGCGUUAAUCGGAAUUACUGGGCGUAAAGCGCACGCAGGCGGUCUGUCAAGUCGGAUGUGAAAUCCCCGGGCUCAACCUGGGAACUGCAUUCGAAACUGGCAGGCUUGAGUCUUGUAGAGGGGGGUAGAAUUCCAGGUGUAGCGGUGAAAUGCGUAGA